This 270-nucleotide ribosomal RNA is filed under the name uncultured archaeon. Its description in RNAcentral is "partial 16S ribosomal RNA". It matches the Rfam family "Archaeal small subunit ribosomal RNA", at positions 477 to 747 of the family's 1478-position model. The record is from RNAcentral.
CUGCAGCUCAAGUGGUGGCCGCUAUUAUUGGGCCUAAAACGUCCGUAGCCGGUUUAGUAAAUGCCUGGGUAAAUCGUGUAGCUUAACUAUACGACUUCCGGGUAGACUGCUAGACUUGGGACCGGGAGAGGCUAGAGGUACUCCUGGGGUAGAGGUGAAAUUCUGUAAUCCUAGGGGGACCACCAGUGGCGAAGGCGUCUAGCUAGAACGGGUCUGACGGUGAGGGACGAAGCCCUGGGGCGCAAACCGGAUUAGAUACCCGUGUAGUCC